This 1771-nucleotide ribosomal RNA is filed under the name Mysmena leichhardti. RNAcentral describes it as "SSU rRNA". It matches the Rfam family "Eukaryotic small subunit ribosomal RNA". The record is from RNAcentral. Lineage: Eukaryota; Metazoa; Arthropoda; Arachnida; Araneae; Mysmenidae.
UGCAUGUCUAAGUACAUACCUAGAAAUGGUGAAACCGCGAAUGGCUCAUUAAAUCAGUUAUGGUUUACGAGAUAUUACUUUUACUACAUGGAUAACUGUGGUAAUUCUAGAGCUAAUACAUGCAAGAAGCUCCGAACCUUGCGUCGAGCGAGGGAACGAGCGCUUUUAUUAGACCAAUCAAAACGGGGCCCCGUUGAUCACUGACCAAUGGGUGUCUUCGGAAAAGAUUGGGUGACUCUGGAUAACUAAUCUGAUCGCACGGGCUUGUCCCGGCGACGUAUCUCUCAAGUGUCUGCUCUAUCAACUGUCGAUGGUAGGUUAUGCGCCUACCAUGGUUGUAACGGGUAACGGGGGAUCAGGGUUCGAUCCCGGAGAGGGAGCCUGAGAAACGGCUACCACAUCCAAGGAAGGCAGCAGGCGCGCAAAUUACCCACUCCCGGCACGGGGAGGUAGUGACGAAAAAUAACGAUACAAGACUCUUUUGAGACCUUGUAAUUGGAAUGAGUACAAUCUAAACACUUUAACGAGGAUCUAUUGGAAGGCAAGUCCGGUGCCAGCAGCUGCGGUAACUCCAGCUCCAAUAGCGUAUAUUAAAGUUGUUGCGGUUAAAAAGCUCGUAGUUGGAUCUAAGUCUUGGACGGGCGGUCUACUUCGAAACGAGGUAGUUUCACUGCCCGAUUUUCCGGACAUUUUUCGUCGGUUUCUCUUGAUGAUCUUCACCGGUUGUCUCGGGAACACCGACAGGUUUACUUUGAAAAAAUUAGAGUGCUCAAAGCAUGCGUGACGCAUGAAUAAUGGUGCAUGGAAUAAUAGAAUAGGACCUCGGUUCUGUUUUGUUGGUUUUUGGACCCCGAGGAAAUGAUUAAGAGGGACUGACGGGGGCAUUCGUAUUGCGACGCUAGAGGUGAAAUUCUUGGACCGUCGCAAGACGAACUACAGCGAAAGCAUUUGCCAAGAAUGUUUCCAUUAAUCAAGAACGAAAGUUAGAGGUUCGAAGGCGAUCAGAUACCGCCCUAGUUCUAACUAUAAACGAUGCCAGCCAGCGAUCCGUCUGUGUUCCUCAAAUGACACGACGGGCAGCUUCCGGGAAACCAAAGCUUUUGGGUUCCGGGGGAAGUAUGGUUGCAAAGCUGAAACUUAAAGGAAUUGGCGGAAGGGCACCACCAGGAUUGGGGCCUGCGGCUCAAUUUGACUCAACACGGGUAAACUUACCCGGCCCGGACACAUUAAGGAUUGACAGAUUAAGAGCUCUUUCUUGAUUAUGUGGGUGGUGGUGCAUGGCCGUUCUUAGUUGGUGGAGCGAUUUGUCAGGUUAAUUCCGAUAACGAACGAGACUCUAGCCUACUAAAUAGGCGUUCCGAUCUCCUGACAGUCGGACGCAUUCUCUUCUUAGAGGGACAAGCGGCGUUUAGCCGCAUGAGAAAGAGCAAUAACAGGUCUGAGAUGCCCUUAGAUGUCCGGGGCCGCACGCGCGCCACAUUGAAGGAAUCAGCGUGUGCUUACCCGUUCCGACAGGGUCGGGUAACCCGUUGAACCUCCUUCGUGCUGGGGAUAGAACCUUGUAAUUAGUUCUUGAACGAGGAAUUCCCAGUAAGCACGAGUCAUCAGCUCGUGUUGAUUACGUCCCUGCCCUUUGCACACACCGCCCGUCGCUAGUACCGAUUGAGUGAUUAAGUGAGGUCUUCGGACUGGCCUUCGAAUUGGGUUCGUAAGAGCUUGAAACGGAGUGCCGAGAAGAUGACCAAACUUGAUCCCUUAGAGAUACUAAAAG